CCUACGGGAGGCAGCAGUGGGGAAUAUUGGGCAAUGGGCGCAAGCCUGACCCAGCAACGCCGCGUGAAGGAAGAAGGCUUUCGGGUUGUAAACUUCUUUUCUGAGGGACGAAGAAAGUGACGGUACCUCAGGAAUAAGCCACGGCUAACUACGUGCCAGAAGCCGCGGUAAUCCGUAGGUGGCAAGCGUUAUCCGGAUUUAUUGGGUGUAAAGGGCGUGUAGGCGGGAAAGCAAGUCAGAUGUGAAAUCUCAGGGCUCAACCCUGAGACUGCAUUUGAAACUGUUUUUCUUGAGUGCUGGAGAGGUAGGCGGAAUUCCGGGUGUAGCGGUGAAAUGCGUAGAUAUAAGGAGGAACACCAGUGGCGAAGGCGGAUUGCUGGACAGUAACUGACGCUGAGGCGCGAAAGCGUGGGGAGCAAACAGGAUUAGAUACCCUGGUAGUC
RNAcentral lists this ribosomal RNA (443 nucleotides) under uncultured bacterium. RNAcentral describes it as "partial 16S ribosomal RNA". It matches the Rfam family "Bacterial small subunit ribosomal RNA", at positions 338 to 795 of the family's 1533-position model. The record is from RNAcentral.